Molecule: ribosomal RNA, 431 nt
Filed under: uncultured bacterium
Lineage: Bacteria
Description: bacterial SSU rRNA
Rfam family: Bacterial small subunit ribosomal RNA
Source: RNAcentral
GCGAACGCUGGCGGCAGGCUUAACACAUGCAAGUCGAACGGGCACUUCGGUGCUAGUGGCAGACGGGUGAGUAACACGUGGGAACGUACCUUUCGGUUCGGAAUAAUACAGGGAAACUUGUACUAAUACCGGAUACGCCCUUCGGGGGAAAGAUUUAUCGCCGAUAGAUCGGCCCGCGUCUGAUUAGCUAGUUGGUGAGGUAAUGGCUCACCAAGGCGACGAUCAGUAGCUGGUCUGAGAGGAUGAUCAGCCACACUGGGACUGAGACACGGCCCAGACUCCUACGGGAGGCAGCAGUGGGGAAUAUUGGACAAUGGGCGCAAGCCUGAUCCAGCCAUGCCGCGUGUGUGAUGAAGGCCUUAGGGUUGUAAAGCACUUUUGUCCGGGAAGAUAAUGACUGUACCGGAAGAAUAAGCCCCGGCUAACUUCGU